RNAcentral lists this transfer RNA (64 nucleotides) under Melibe leonina. RNAcentral describes it as "tRNA-Pro". The record is from RNAcentral. Lineage: Eukaryota; Metazoa; Mollusca; Gastropoda; Nudibranchia; Dendronotidae.
UCAAGAAGAGUUUUAUAGAAUACUAACUUUGGGAGUUAGAGGAUGGCAGAAUGCCAUUUUUGAA